CUGCUGCCUCCCGUAGGAGUUUGGGCCGUGUCUCAGUCCCAAUGUGGCCGUCCACCCUCUCAGGCCGGCUACUGAUCGUCGCCUUGGUGGGCCGUUACCCCGCCAACAAGCUAAUCAGACGCGGGUCCAUCUUACACCACCGGAGUUUUUCACACAAAUCCAUGCGGCUUCGUGCGCUUAUGCGGUAUUAGCACCUAUUUCUAAGUGUUAUCCCCCAGUGUAAGGCAGGUUACCCAGCGUUACUCACCCGUCCGCCACUAAGA
RNAcentral lists this ribosomal RNA (263 nucleotides) under uncultured bacterium. Its description in RNAcentral is "partial 16S ribosomal RNA". The record is from RNAcentral.